This 496-nucleotide ribosomal RNA is filed under the name uncultured bacterium. RNAcentral's name for it is "partial 16S ribosomal RNA". It matches the Rfam family "Bacterial small subunit ribosomal RNA", at positions 29 to 507 of the family's 1533-position model. The record is from RNAcentral.
AUGCACGCUGGCGGCGUGCCUAAUACAUGCAAGUCGAGCGAACGGACGAGAAGCUUGCUUCUCUGAUGUUAGCGGCGGACGGGUGAGUAACACGUGGAUAACCUACCUAUAAGACUGGGAUAACUUCGGGAAACCGGAGCUAAUACCGGAUAAUAUUUUGAACCGCAUGGUUCAAAAGUGAAAGACGGUCUUGCUGUCACUUAUAGAUGGAUCCGCGCUGCAUUAGCUAGUUGGUAAGGUAACGGCUUACCAAGGCAACGAUGCAUAGCCGACCUGAGAGGGUGAUCGGCCACACUAGAACUGAGACACGGUCCAGACUCCUACGGGAGGCAGCAGUAGGGAAUCUUCCGCAAUGGGCGAAAGCCUGACGGAGCAACGCCGCGUGAGUGAUGAAGGUCUUCGGAUCGUAAAACUCUGUUAUUAGGGAAGAACAUAUGUGUAAGUAAAUGUGCACCUCUUGACGGUACCUAAUCAGAAAGCCACGGCUAACUACGUG